This is a long non-coding RNA of Zingiber officinale, 173 nucleotides long. RefSeq lists it as uncharacterized. The transcript has 3 exons. NCBI's taxonomy places the organism in Eukaryota, Viridiplantae, Streptophyta, Magnoliopsida, Zingiberales, Zingiberaceae. The record is from RefSeq and is a predicted model, not a curated record.
CGCCAUCCAGCUCCGGACUAUCUCUUGGAGAUGUCCAUCCCAACGCACUCCUAGAGCUACAUACCCAACUGCUAUUGAGGAUGACAGUUCCAAAGAGACUGACAGAAUUCCAACACCUAAAGUGAUAAUUGAUCAAGACUCAAACCCAGAUGCAACCAUUGUCGAGGUAGCCU